AUCAAGUGCGCAGCCAUGUCUUCCUCCUCCGCCUCCUUCCAGUCGACCCUCGACGGUGGAGCCCCGGAGAAGCUAACCCGCGGCAACUAUGUUCUGUGGCGGACGCAGAUCACGCCACAGCUGCGGGGCACCGGCCUCUUCCACUACGUAGAUGGCACGGCAACCGAGCCGGCCGAAGUCCUCACCACCAAGGACGCCGCCGACAAGGAGACCACUGGGCCGAAUCCCCUUCAUCCGCUCUGGGUGAGAGAGGAUCAACAGGUCCUCGGCUAUCUCCUCCAACACCUCUCCAAGGAAGUGCUCAUCACGGUGACCACGAUCACCACGGCGCGCGCUCUUUGGGUGGCACUGGCGAACAUGUUUUCGUCACAAUCACUCAGCCGCGUCAACAACAUCCGGACAGCGCUGAUCAAUGCGCAGAAGGGCAAUCAAUCGGUGGCCACCUUCUUCGCCGCCAUGAGGGGUCUCGCCGAUGAACUUGCCGCGGCGGGAAAACCCAUCCAGGACGACGAGUUGAUCUCCUACAUCAUCCAUGGGCUGGACCAAUACUACCAGCCCCUCGUCUCCGCACUAGAUGCCCGUGUCACUCCGGUAACUCUCGAUGAACUUUUUGCCAUGCUCAGUAACUUUGAUCAACGCAUGGCACAGUAUCAUGGUCCCGGUGGUGGCUUCAAGUCGUCAGCCAACUCUGUAUCUAGAGGCCACGGUGGUGGCUCUCGCUCGCGUUCAUCUUCCCGUGGCAAGGGGAGGUUCGGCUCCGGCGGCAGUGGCUACUCCAACGGCUACUCCAACAACUCACGCGGCGGCGGGCGCUCCGGCAACUCCAAAGGGCAUGGUGGUGGUGGCAGUGGUGGUUCCAACCGGUCCCGUUCGGACCUGCCUCGCUGCCAAAUUUGCGGCAAGCCUGGUCAUACGGCAAAGGACUGUUGGUACCGC
Molecule: ribosomal RNA, 936 nt
Filed under: Triticum aestivum (bread wheat)
Lineage: Eukaryota; Viridiplantae; Streptophyta; Magnoliopsida; Poales; Poaceae
Description: partial small subunit ribosomal RNA
Source: RNAcentral